Molecule: ribosomal RNA, 865 nt
Filed under: uncultured bacterium
Lineage: Bacteria
Description: bacterial SSU rRNA
Rfam family: Bacterial small subunit ribosomal RNA
Source: RNAcentral
AGAGUUUGAUCCUGGCUCAGGAUGAACGCUGGCGGCGUGCCUAACACAUGCAAGUCGAGCGAUUCUCUUCGGAGAAGAGCGGCGGACGGGUGAGUAACGCGUGGGUAACCUGCCCUGUACACACGGAUAACAUACCGAAAGGUAUGCUAAUACGGGAUAAUAUAUAAGAGUCGCAUGACUUUUAUAUCAAAGAUUUUUCGGUACAGGAUGGACCCGCGUCUGAUUAGCUUGUUGGCGGGGUAACGGCCCACCAAGGCGACGAUCAGUAGCCGACCUGAGAGGGUGAUCGGCCACAUUGGAACUGAGACACGGUCCAAACUCCUACGGGAGGCAGCAGUGGGGAAUAUUGCACAAUGGGCGCAAGCCUGAUGCAGCAACGCCGCGUGAGCGAUGAAGGCCUUCGGGUCGUAAAGCUCUGUCCUCAAGGAAGAUAAUGACGGUACUUGAGGAGGAAGCCCCGGCUAACUACGUGCCAGCAGCCGCGGUAAUACGUAGGGGGCUAGCGUUAUCCGGAUUUACUGGGCGUAAAGGGUGCGUAGGCGGUCUUUCAAGUCAGGAGUUAAAGGCUACGGCUCAACCGUAGUAAGCUCCUGAUACUGUCUGACUUGAGUGCAGGAGAGGAAAGCGGAAUUCCCAGUGUAGCGGUGAAAUGCGUAGAUAUUGGGAGGAACACCAGUAGCGAAGGCGGCUUUCUGGACUGUAACUGACGCUGAGGCACGAAAGCGUGGGGAGCAAACAGGAUUAGAUACCCUGGUAGUCCACGCUGUAAACGAUGAGUACUAGGUGUCGGAGGUUACCCCCUUCGGUGCCGCAGCUAACGCAUAAAGUACUCCGCCUGGGGAGUACGCACGCAAGUGUGAAACUC